AGUAGUAGUAGUAGUAGUAGUAGUAGUAAUAGUAGUAGUAGUAGUAGUAAUAGUAGUAGUAGUAGUAAUAGUGGUGGUGGUAGUAAUAGUAGUAGUAGGUUAGGAGUUGAAUUAUUUAUACAUAUUUAAGCAGAAGAAAGUGGAGUUUUAACACACACACACACACACACACACACACACACACACACACACACCUGUCUCCCCAUGCCCCCUUUCCUCCCCACCCCUCUUCGUCCUCUUUUCUCUCUCCCCUUCACGAAUACCAUUAACCCCCUUCCCCCUCCCCCCUUUCCUCCCUCACCCCACCCUCACCCCAGACCCCCUUAUUGAGACAUUCACCCCCACACACACACCCCUCGUCUCACCCUCACCUCCCUUUCCAUGCUUAUUUUGCUUCCUUCUUCCUUCCCCUCUUCCUCCUCUCCCACCCUUCUCGUCCCCUCUAUAUCUCUCCCUUCCCUUCCUCUUUCUCCUCCUUUUCCUUCUGCUCUCAUUCUCUAUCAUUUUAGCAACUCUUCUUCUUUUCUCCUUCUUCUCCUCUUUCCACUUUUCCUUUUUCUUCUCCUUCUUCCUCUUAUAUCUCUUCUUUUUUUCUCGUUAUCAUCAUCAUCAUCAGUGUGCAUAUCUGAAUCAAAUUAUUCAUUCAUUUCAUAUAUAUAUUUUUGCUUCUCUACUCCAUUUUCCUCCUCCUUUUUACACACACACACACACACAUUUUUUUUAUAUAGUUUAACUUGAUCAUUCUCUUUUGGGUUGACCUUUUUAUGUUUGUGUUUGUGGUUUUCAUAUAUAGUAGUAGCAAUUUCCUUAUCUAUAUUCUACCGCGGAACACACACACACACACACACACACACACACACACACACACACACACACACACACAGCUGCCCUGUUCACGCUUCACUUGAUAGAUAACUUCAAGUCCACCUAUAUUCGCUCCUUAUUUGGGCAUAAGCUAAAAUGUCAUAUUCUCUCUCUCUCUCUCUCUCUCUCUCUCUCUCUCUCUCUCUCUCUCUCUCUCUCUCUCUCUCUCUCUCUCUCUCUCUCUCUCUCUCUCUCUCUUAUCUACGGUAUUUCGACAUUUCACAUUAUUUUCGUUUGACCUCCAGACUGUAUCCAAUGGUAGUAGUAGUGGUAGUAGUAGUAGUAGUAGUAGUAGUAGUAAUAAGUGGUAGUAGUAAUAGUGUCGUAAAAUAAUAAUAAAAAUUGUAUUCGUUGUAUUAUGGCAUAUGUGUUUGUAGCGGGCUUUUGUUUUUGUUUGUUAUUCUUUUUUGCGGUUUCCAAUGAUGUAAAAAUAUGUUAAAAGUAAUAUAUAAUGGCAAUAAUACUGGACGCUGUAGUACCAGUAACGGCAAUAUAUCUUUUUUCGAUAACAGUUUACUUCCUCGCCGAUAAAGGUCUCACGCACCGCUCACAACUUGCCAAGGGUACGAACCCCACGCCCCUAGCAACCCGUGGCCCAUAGCUCGUAGGUUGUUAAAUAAAAAGUAAGAUAAGAUAGAAAGUUAGAAUAAGAUAGGUCAGAGUAAAUAUAUAAAUAAAGGAGGAUAAAUUGUGGUCAAUGAUAAACAAAUAACUGAAUUAAAAAAGAACUGAAGGAAACAUAUGAUUAAAAAAAAAUGAAAAUAAUGAGGGAAUAAAAAGAACUAAAGGCGCGGAGGUAACACGGUCCUGCUGCUCUCCUCUACCUUUCCCAUUGUUGUGUUGUCUAUUUUUAGAGGCAUUGUUACUGAACCCACUGCACCUCGCCACCCUAGCCUCGUCGGUGGCCGCGUUAGUCCAGGGUUAUACUUACACAGAAAUCAAAAUAUAUACACAAGAUAGUUCCAGAAAUUGAAUUAUACACACAAGAUAGUUCCAGAAAUUGAAUUAUACACACCAGAUGGGUCCAGAAGUUAAAAAUAGAGAGGUUCAUGCACUCAAAAUAGGUCCAGGGUUUUACUUACACAGAAAUCAAAAUAUAAACACAAGAAAAGUCCAGAAAUUGAAUCAUACACACAAGAUAGGUCCAGAAGUUAAAAUAAAUAGGUUUAGAAGUUAAAAUAAAUAGGUUUAGAAGUUAAAAUAGAUAAGUUCAGAAUUUAAGAUAUACACUCAAAAUAGGUCCAGGGUUUUACUUACACAGAAAUCUAAAUAUAAACACAAGAUAGUUCCAGAAAUUGAAUUAUACACACAAGAUAGGUCCAGAAGCUAAGUAGAUAGGUUCAGAAGGUAAAAUAUACACUCAAAAUAGGUCCAGGAUUUUACUUACACAGAAAUCAAAAUAUAAACACAAGAUAGGUCCAGAAGUUAAAAUAGAUUGGCUCAGAAAUUAAAAUAUACACUCAAAAUACGUCCAGGAUUUUACUUACACAGAAAUCAAAAUAUAAACACAAGAUAGGUCCAGAAGUUAAAAUAGAUUGGCUCAGAAAUUAAAAUAUACACUUAAAAUAUGUCCAGGGUUUUACUUACACGGAAAUCAAGACUGUCUAAACUUCUAAAGGAAGAGGAAGCCAUGAGACGCGGUGACAAGGACGGCAAUUAUCAUAAGGCUGAGGUCGAUGCUCUUAGACGCUGCCGGCUAUCACAGCAACCAUCUCCAAAGGCCGGAAAGAUCAGUCGGUUUCUAAUAAGUGUUUCUUAGGUUCACAGUACAGAAGAAAACCCAAACUACCACUGGUCAUAAAGUUACCUACGAAAGCCUUGCCAAAUGUGUGUGCUUGAGCGCUGAAUGUUUAAGAAUAUGGCUGUACGGCUUCAGUAGUAGUAGUAGUAAUAGUAAUAUAAGUGGUAGUAGUAAUAGAAGCAGUAGUAGUAAUAGUACAGUAAAAAUAGUAAAAAUUGUAUUCGUUGCUUAGGCCUAUGUGUUUCUAGCGGGCUUUUGUUUUUGUUUGUUAUGCUAUUUUGUGGCUUCCAAUGAUGUAAAUAUAUGUUAAAAGUAAUAUAUAAUGGCAAUAAUACUAGACGUCUUAAAAAAUCUAGGGUUGUCAAUGCGUAAACUGACUUUGAUGAUCCUUGCUUCGAUCCGUGUUGAUUGUGUGCAGCGGCGAGGCAUCAGAAAGUCGCCUUGUUUAUUUUCGUGGGGCGUCUUGCUCUUAGAAAAUGUGGGCCGUAAUACUAGACAUUUCGUUGCCCAUGUUCACGUAUUUGACAAGGCUUUCGUAGGAGUUGUGGGCAUUUCCAGGAGUAGUUUUAUGACCCUGGUGGUAGUGUGACCCUUCCUUUGUACGGUGAACCUAAAGAAACACUCAUUAGAACCCGAUUGGUCCUCUCUUUGACCUUUAGAAAUAGUUGAUGUGAGGAGCGAAGGUGUCUUAUAAUGCCGAUCUAUUUUGGGUACUAUUCUAAAACAUUUCAUCGCCCAAGAACACAAAUUUGACAAGGCUUUCGUAGGAGUUGUGGGCAUUUCCAGGAGUAGUUUUGUGACCCUGGUGGUAGUUUGACCCUUCUUCUGUACAAUAAACCAGAAGAAACAGUCAUUAGAACCCGACUGACCCCCUCUUUGACCUUUAGAAAUGGCUGAUGUGAGAAGCGAGUGUCUUAUGAUGCCGACUCGAGUCAUAAACAAAAUUCCUUCUCCGUUCAAGAGUUUCGUUUGGUUAGUUCAUCAAUUCUUCGCCCACUACGCCUCUGUUCACGGCACUUAGUAAACCAUAAAGAAAAUUCCUCCGUUCAAGGGCAUCGUUCGGUUAGUUCUGCAUCAGUGUCCUUGCCCACUACGCCUCUGUUCAUGGCAUUUAGUUAACCAUUAAGAAAAUUCCUCCGUUCAAGGAUAUCGUGUGUUUAGUUCUGCAUCAAUUCUUCGUCCACUACGCCUCUGUUCAUGGCAUUUAGUUAACCAUUAAGAAAAUUCCUCCGUUCAAGGAUAUCGUUUGGUUAGUCCUGCUUCGGUAUUUCUUUGUUCACGGCAAGAGCUCAUGGCCGAUAUUCUCAGACCCUUCCGCCUCGCAUCAACUAUUUCCAAGGGCCGAGAAGGAGCGUAUUCGCGUUCUCAUAAGUGUUUUUUGACGAUCAUGGUACGGAAGAAGGGUCAAAGGAUCAUAUUUUUAAACAUUUCGGCGCUCAAGCUCACAUAUCUAACAAGGCUUUUAUAAGAGUUUGGGUAAUUUACUAGAGUAGUUUUAUGACCCUGGCGGUAGUUUGACCCUUCUUCUGUACCAUGAACCUAAAAAAACGCUCAUUAGAAUCCGAUUGAUCUCCUUUUCGACCUUUGGAAAUAGGUGAUGGGAGGGGUGGAAGCG
Eriocheir sinensis (Chinese mitten crab) is the source of this 4220-nucleotide long non-coding RNA. RefSeq lists it as uncharacterized. The transcript has 3 exons. The record is from RefSeq and is a predicted model, not a curated record. NCBI's taxonomy places the organism in Eukaryota, Metazoa, Arthropoda, Malacostraca, Decapoda, Varunidae.